Molecule: long non-coding RNA, 617 nt
Organism: Erinaceus europaeus (western European hedgehog)
Lineage: Eukaryota; Metazoa; Chordata; Mammalia; Eulipotyphla; Erinaceidae
Exons: 3
Source: RefSeq, a predicted model, not a curated record
GUUGAGGCGGGGGAACGGGGGCUAGGAGGUACAGCCUGAGCCCCUCUGGGAGCAGACCUGGACCUUGGGGGGUUAAGGGGUACAGCCUGAGCCCCUCUGGGAGCAGACCUGGACCUUGGGGGGCUAGGGGAUACAGCCUGAGCCCCUCUGGGAGCAGACCUGGAUCUUGGGGGGCUAAGGGGUACAGCCUGAGCCCCUCUGGGAGAAGACUUGGACUUUGGGGGAUUAGGGGUACAGCCUGAGCCCCUCUGGGAGCAGACCUGGAUCUUGGGGGGUUAGGGGGUACAGCCUGAGCCCCUCUGGAGCAGACCUGGACCUUGAGGGGCUAAGGGGUACAGCCUGACCCCCUCUGGGAGCAGACCUGGAUCUUGGGGGGCUAAGGGGUACAUCCUGAGCCCCUCUGGGAGCUGACCUGGAUCUUGGGGGUUAGGGGGUACAGCCUGAGCCCCUCUGGGAGCAGACCUGGAUAUUGGGGGGCUAGGGUGUACAGCUUGAGCCCCUCUGGGAGCAGACCUGGACCUUGGGGGGCUAAGGGGUACAGCCUGAGUGAGCCCCCUCUGGGAGCAACCCUGGUUCCUGUCUUCAGCCAGAGCCUAACCACCCCAGAGCCUAAACCC